RNAcentral lists this transfer RNA (74 nucleotides) under Kineococcus rhizosphaerae. Its description in RNAcentral is "tRNA-Ile". It matches the Rfam family "tRNA". Rfam says of the family: Transfer RNA (tRNA) molecules are approximately 80 nucleotides in length. Their secondary structure includes four short double-helical elements and three loops (D, anti-codon, and T loops). The record is from RNAcentral. Lineage: Bacteria; Bacillati; Actinomycetota; Actinomycetes; Kineosporiales; Kineosporiaceae.
GGGCCUAUAGCUCAGUUGGUUAGAGCGCAUCCCUGAUAAGGAUGAGGUCGGAGGUUCAAGUCCUCCUAGGCCCA